UGGGGAAUAUUGCACAAUGGGCGCAAGCCUGAUGCAGCCAUGCCGCGUGUAUGAAGAAGGCCUUCGGGUUGUAAAGUACUUUCAGCGAGGAGGAAGGUGUUGUGGUUAAUAACCACAGCAAUUGACGUUACUCGCAGAAGAAGCACCGGCUAACUCCGUG
Molecule: ribosomal RNA, 160 nt
Filed under: uncultured Citrobacter sp.
Lineage: Bacteria; Pseudomonadati; Pseudomonadota; Gammaproteobacteria; Enterobacterales; Enterobacteriaceae
Also listed under: 1 other name
Description: partial 16S ribosomal RNA
Rfam family: Bacterial small subunit ribosomal RNA
Source: RNAcentral